Molecule: ribosomal RNA, 1035 nt
Filed under: Salmonella enterica
Lineage: Bacteria; Pseudomonadati; Pseudomonadota; Gammaproteobacteria; Enterobacterales; Enterobacteriaceae
Description: partial 23S ribosomal RNA
Rfam family: Bacterial large subunit ribosomal RNA
Source: RNAcentral
AGACCCGAAACCCGGUGAUCUAGCCAUGGGCAGGUUGAAGGUUGGGUAACACUAACUGGAGGACCGAACCGACUAAUGUUGAAAAAUUAGCGGAUGACCUGUGGCUGGGGGUGAAAGGCCAAUCAAACCGGGAGAUAGCUGGUUCUCCCCGAAAGCUAUUUAGGUAGCGCCUCGUGAAUUCAUCUCCGGGGGUAGAGCACUGUUUCGGCUAGGGGGCCAUCCCGGCUUACCAACCCGAUGCAAACUGCGAAUACCGGAGAAUGUUAUCACGGGAGACACACGGCGGGUGCUAACGUCCGUCGUGAAGAGGGAAACAACCCAGACCGCCAGCUAAGGUCCCAAAGUCAUGGUUAAGUGGGAAACGAUGUGGGAAGGCCCAGACAGCCAGGAUGUUGGCUUAGAAGCAGCCAUCAUUUAAAGAAAGCGUAAUAGCUCACUGGUCGAGUCGGCCUGCGCGGAAGAUGUAACGGGGCUAAACCAUGCACCGAAGCUGCGGCAGCGACACUAUGUGUUGUUGGGUAGGGGAGCGUUCUGUAAGCCUGUGAAGGUGGCCUGUGAGGGUUGCUGGAGGUAUCAGAAGUGCGAAUGCUGACAUAAGUAACGAUAAAGCGGGUGAAAAGCCCGCUCGCCGGAAGACCAAGGGUUCCUGUCCAACGUUAAUCGGGGCAGGGUGAGUCGACCCCUAAGGCGAGGCCGAAAGGCGUAGUCGAUGGGAAACGGGUUAAUAUUCCCGUACUUGGUGUUACUGCGAAGGGGGGACGGAGAAGGCUAUGUUGGCCGGGCGACGGUUGUCCCGGUUUAAGCGUGUAGGCUGGUUUUCCAGGCAAAUCCGGAAAAUCAAGGCUGAGGCGUGAUGACGAGGCACUACGGUGCUGAAGCAACAAAUGCCCUGCUUCCAGGAAAAGCCUCUAAGCAUCAGGUAACACGAAAUCGUACCCCAAACCGACACAGGUGGUCAGGUAGAGAAUACCAAGGCGCUUGAGAGAACUCGGGUGAAGGAACUAGGCAAAAUGGUGCCGUAACUUCGGGAGAAGG